GACGAACGCUGGCGGCGUGCCUAAUACAUGCAAGUCGAACGCAUUUUCUUUCACCGUAGCUUGCUACACCGACAGAAAAUGAGUGGCGAACGGGUGAGUAACACGUGGGUAACCUGCCCAUCAGCGGGGGAUAACACUUGGAAACAGGUGCUAAUACCGCAUAAUUCCAUUUACCGCAUGGUAGAUGGGUGAAAGGCGCUUUUGCGUCACUGAUGGAUGGACCCGCGGUGCAUUAGCUAGUUGGUGGGGUAACGGCCUACCAAGGCUGCGAUGCAUAGCCGACCUGAGAGGGUGAUCGGCCACACUGGGACUGAGACACGGCCCAGACUCCUACGGGAGGCAGCAGUAGGGAAUCUUCGGCAAUGGACGCAAGUCUGACCGAGCAACGCCGCGGGAGUGAAGAAGGGUUUCGGAUCGUAAAACUCUGUUGUUAGAGAAGAACAAGGAUGAGAGUGGAAAGUUCAUCCCUUGACGGUAGCUAACCAGAAAGCCACGGCUAACUACGUG
This 507-nucleotide ribosomal RNA is filed under the name uncultured bacterium. Its description in RNAcentral is "partial 16S ribosomal RNA". It matches the Rfam family "Bacterial small subunit ribosomal RNA", at positions 28 to 507 of the family's 1533-position model. The record is from RNAcentral.